This 425-nucleotide ribosomal RNA is filed under the name uncultured Methanobrevibacter sp. RNAcentral's name for it is "bacterial SSU rRNA". It matches the Rfam family "Archaeal small subunit ribosomal RNA", at positions 322 to 747 of the family's 1478-position model. The record is from RNAcentral. Lineage: Archaea; Methanobacteriati; Methanobacteriota; Methanobacteria; Methanobacteriales; Methanobacteriaceae.
CCUAUGGGAGGCACCAGGCGCGAAACCUCCGCAAUGUGAGAAAUCGCGACGGGGGGAUCCCAAGUGCCAUUCUUAACGGGAUGGCUUUUCAUUAGUGUAAAGAGCUUUUGGAAUAAGAGCUGGGCAAGACCGGUGCCAGCCGCCGCGGUAACACCGGCAGCUCUAGUGGUAGCAGUUUUUAUUGGGCCUAAAGCGUCCGUAGCCGGUUUAAUAAGUCUCUGGUGAAAUCCUGCAGCUUAACUGUGGGAAUUGCUGGAGAUACUAUUAGACUUGAGAUCGGGAGAGGUUAGAGGUACUCCCAGGGUAGAGGUGAAAUUCUGUAAUCCUGGGAGGACCGCCUGUUGCGAAGGCGUCUGACUGGAACGAUUCUGACGGUGAGGGACGAAAGCUAGGGGCGCGAACCGGAUUAGAUACCCUAGUAGUCC